Molecule: non-coding RNA, 29 nt
Filed under: Rattus norvegicus (Norway rat)
Lineage: Eukaryota; Metazoa; Chordata; Mammalia; Rodentia; Muridae
Source: RNAcentral
UGCACAGGUAGUCUUGAAUGUUUCAUUGC